Molecule: long non-coding RNA, 213 nt
Filed under: Elaeis guineensis (African oil palm)
Lineage: Eukaryota; Viridiplantae; Streptophyta; Magnoliopsida; Arecales; Arecaceae
Description: long non-coding RNA (EGUI_LNC009334)
Source: RNAcentral
CAACAUUCUCUACCCCUUCGGCACAUCCAAUACAGCUACGAAAGGCUUCGAAAUAAGCUGCAAUGGCACUUCCGUAAUUCUGUAACUAGGCAAAUAUACUUAACAGAUUGAAGACAUCUUGCCAUAAGACUAUCUGAGCAUUUACACCAGUGCCAUUAUUCAGUGCUGCGAUAGAAAUUUCACUUUAAGACAUCGCAUGAUUAAUAUAGAGGG